Molecule: non-coding RNA, 84 nt
Organism: Plectosphaerella plurivora
Lineage: Eukaryota; Fungi; Ascomycota; Sordariomycetes; Glomerellales; Plectosphaerellaceae
Source: the annotation of a GenBank genome assembly
GCCCGGCUAGCUCAAUCGGUAGAGCGUGAGACUCUUACCAGAGUACACAUCUCAAGGUUGUGGGUUCGACCCCCACGUCGGGCU